Molecule: ribosomal RNA, 592 nt
Filed under: uncultured bacterium
Lineage: Bacteria
Description: partial 16S ribosomal RNA
Rfam family: Bacterial small subunit ribosomal RNA
Source: RNAcentral
UGGGGAAUUUUGGACAAUGGGCGAAAGCCUGAUCCAGCAAUGCCGCGUGUGUGAAGAAGGCCUUCGGGUUGUAAAGCACUUUUGUCCGGAAAGAAAUCCUUGGCUCUAAUACAGUCGGGGGAUGACGGUACCGGAAGAAUAAGCACCGGCUAACUACGUGCCAGCAGCCGCGGUAAUACGUAGGGUGCAAGCGUUAAUCGGAAUUACUGGGCGUAAAGCGUGCGCAGGCGGUUUGCUAAGACCGAUGUGAAAUCCCCGGGCUCAACCUGGGAACUGCAUUGGUGACUGGCAGGCUAGAGUAUGGCAGAGGGGGGUAGAAUUCCACGUGUAGCAGUGAAAAUGCGUAGAGAUGUGGAGGAAUACCGAUGGCGAAGGCAGCCCCCUGGGCCAAUACUGACGCUCAUGCGCGAAAGCGUGGGGGAGCAAAACAGGAUUAGAUACCCUGGUAGUCCACGCCCUAAAACGAUGUCAACUAGUUGUUGGGGAUUCAUUUCCUUAGUAACGUAGCUAACGCGUGAAGUCGCACCGCUGGGGGAGUACGGUCGCAAAGAUUAAAAACUCAAAUGAAUUGAGGGGGUCAUAGCUGUUUCCU